RNAcentral lists this ribosomal RNA (448 nucleotides) under uncultured bacterium. RNAcentral describes it as "partial 16S ribosomal RNA". It matches the Rfam family "Bacterial small subunit ribosomal RNA", at positions 29 to 523 of the family's 1533-position model. The record is from RNAcentral.
AGUGAACGCUGGCGGCAGGCCUAACACAUGCAAGUCGAACGAAGUCUUCGGACUUAGUGGCGGACGGGUGAGUAACACGUGGGAACGUGCCCUUUGGUACGGAAUAACUCAGGGAAACUUGAGCUAAUACCGUAUGUGCCCUUCGGGGGAAAGAUUUAUCGCCAUUGGAGCGGCCCGCGUCUGAUUAGCUAGUUGGUGAGGUAAAGGCUCACCAAGGCGACGAUCAGUAGCUGGUCUGAGAGGAUGAUCAGCCACAUUGGGACUGAGACACGGCCCAAACUCCUACGGGAGGCAGCAGUGGGGAAUCUUGCGCAAUGGGCGAAAGCCUGACGCAGCCAUGCCGCGUGAAUGAUGAAGGUCUUAGGAUUGUAAAAUUCUUUCACCGGGGACGAUAAUGACGGUACCCGGAGAAGAAGCCCCGGCUAACUUCGUGCAGCAGCCGCCGUAA